Molecule: ribosomal RNA, 253 nt
Filed under: uncultured bacterium
Lineage: Bacteria
Description: partial 16S ribosomal RNA
Rfam family: Bacterial small subunit ribosomal RNA
Source: RNAcentral
GACGAACCGUGCGAACGUUAUUCGGAAUCACUGGGCUUAAAGGGCGCGUAGGCGGGUUCUCAAGUCAGGGGUGAAAUCCCGCGGCUCAACCGUGGAAGUGCCUUUGAUACUGGGGACCUCGAGGGAGGUAGGGGCGUGCGGAACUUCCGGUGGAGCGGUGAAAUGUGUAGAUAUCGGAAGGAACACCGGUGGCGAAAGCGGCGCGCUGGACCUCUUCUGACGCCGAGGCGCGAAAGCCAGGGGAGCAAACGGG